This 1476-nucleotide ribosomal RNA is filed under the name uncultured Bordetella sp. Its description in RNAcentral is "partial 16S-23S ribosomal RNA intergenic spacer". It matches the Rfam family "Bacterial small subunit ribosomal RNA". The record is from RNAcentral. Lineage: Bacteria; Pseudomonadati; Pseudomonadota; Betaproteobacteria; Burkholderiales; Alcaligenaceae.
AGUUCGAUUCUGGUUUCGAUGAACGUUGGCGGGAUAAGCUUUGAUAAUACGCAAGUCGAACCUAAGCAGCACGGACUUCGGUCUGGUGGCGAGUGGCUUAACGGGUGAGUAAUGUAUCGGAACGUGCCUAGCGGGGGAUAACUACGCGAAAGCGUAGCCACACGCAUACGCUGCCCUUCGGGAAAGCGGGGACCUUCUUGCCUUUGCACUCAUUAGAGCGGGCCGAUAUCGGAUUAGCUAGUUGGUGGGGUAACGGCUCACUGCGACGAUCCGUAGCUGGUUUGAGAGGACGACCAGCCACACUGGACCGAGACACGGCCCAGAUCCCCAUGGAGGCAGCAGGGGGGAAUUUUGGACAAUGGGGAACCCCGAUCCAGCCAUCCCGCGUGUGCGAUGAAGGCCUUCGGGUUGGUAAAGCACUUUUGGCAGGAAAGAAACGGCACGGGAUAUUACCGUGCAACUGACGGUACCCGCAAGAAUAGCACCGGCUGGAAUCACGUGCCAGCAGCCGCGGUAAUACAGUAGGGGUGUUGGCAAUCGGACUACUGGCGUAGCGUGCGCAGGCGGUUCGAAAAGAAAGAUGUAAAUCCCCAGAGCUUAACUUUGAACUGCAUUUUUAACUACCGAGCUAGAGUGUCAGAGGGAGGUGGAAUUCGCGUGUAGCAGUGAAAUGCGUAGAUAUGCGGAGGAACACCGAUGGCGAAGGCAGCCUCCUGGGAUAACACUGACGCUCAUGCACGAAAGCGUGGGGAGCAAACAGGAUUAGAUACCUCCUGGUAGUCCACGCCCCAAACGAUGUCAACUAGCUGUUGGGGCCUUCGGGCCUCGGUAGCGCAGUUAACGCGUGAAGUUGGACCGCCUGGGGAGCACGGCCGCAAGAUUAAACUCAGCGAAUUGACGGGACUCCGCACAAGCGGUGGAUGAUGUGGAUUAUCUCGAUGCAACGCGAAAACCUUACCUACCCUGACAUGCUGGGAAUCGACAUUUUGGGAGUGCUCGCAAGAGAACCGGAACACAGGUGUUUGCAUUGGCUGUCGUCAGCUGUGUCGUGAGAUGUUGGGUUAAGUCCUUACAACGAGCGCAACUCCUUGUCAUUAUUGCUACGAAAGGGCACUCUAAUGAGACUGCCGGUGACAAACCGGAGGAAGGUGGGGAUGACGUCAAGUCCUCAUGGCUCCUGGCGGGUAGGGCUUCGCGAUGUCAUACAAUGGUCGGGAGUUAGAGUGGUCGCCACCCGCGAGGGGGAGCCAAUCCCAGAAACCUGAUCGGGAGUCCGGAUCGCAGUCUGCAACUCCGGGACUGCGAAGUCAAAUCGCUAGUAAUCGCGGAUCAGCAUGUCGCGGUGAAUACGUUCCCGGGUCUUGUACACACUGCCUGUCACACCAUGGAGUGUUUUACCAGAAGUAGUUAGCCUAACCGUAAGGAGGGCGAUUACCACGGUAGGAUUCAUGACUUGGGGUGAAGUCGUAUCAAGGU